UGUUAAAAAUUUUAUAUAUUUCUACUGUUAAAAACUGAUGUAGUUGACAAAAUAACCAGACAGUUAUGCCAUGUGGAUCUUAUGCAGACAUAUAAAGAUCAAUUUUUAACAGUAAAGAUAGAAGGAAAUUUUAAUA
Molecule: non-coding RNA, 136 nt
Organism: Gossypium arboreum
Lineage: Eukaryota; Viridiplantae; Streptophyta; Magnoliopsida; Malvales; Malvaceae
Source: Rfam